UCGUCAGUGAAAACGUCACUGUCAGCUA
Molecule: small RNA, 28 nt
Filed under: Bombyx mori (domestic silkworm)
Lineage: Eukaryota; Metazoa; Arthropoda; Insecta; Lepidoptera; Bombycidae
Description: ovarian small RNA-29218
Source: RNAcentral